Molecule: ribosomal RNA, 871 nt
Filed under: Alteromonadaceae bacterium GUDS1290
Lineage: Bacteria; Pseudomonadati; Pseudomonadota; Gammaproteobacteria; Alteromonadales; Alteromonadaceae
Description: bacterial SSU rRNA
Rfam family: Bacterial small subunit ribosomal RNA
Source: RNAcentral
CAUGCAGUCGAACGGUAGCAGGAAGUGCUUGCACUUCGCUGACGAGUGGCGGACGGGUGAGUAAUGCUUGGGAACUUGCCUUUAGGUGGGGGAUAACAGUUGGAAACGACUGCUAAUACCGCAUAAUGUCUACGGACCAAAGGGGGCUUCGGCUCCCGCCUUGAGAGAGGCCCAAGUGAGAUUAGCUAGUUGGUGGGGUAAAGGCCUACCAAGGCAACGAUCUCUAGCUGUUCUGAGAGGAAGAUCAGCCACACUGGGACUGAGACACGGCCCAGACUCCUACGGGAGGCAGCAGUGGGGAAUAUUGCACAAUGGGGGAAACCCUGAUGCAGCCAUGCCGCGUGUGUGAAGAAGGCCUUCGGGUUGUAAAGCACUUUCAGUUGUGAGGAAAGGUUGGUAGUUAAUACCUGCCAGCUGUGACGUUAACAACAGAAGAAGCACCGGCUAACUCCGUGCCAGCAGCCGCGGUAAUACGGAGGGUGCGAGCGUUAAUCGGAAUUACUGGGCGUAAAGCGCACGCAGGCGGCUUGUUAAGCUAGAGGUGAAAGCCCCGCGCUCAACGUGGGAACUGCCUUUAGAACUGGCAGGCUAGAGUCUUGGAGAGGGGAGUGGAAUUCCAGGUGUAGCGGUGAAAUGCGUAGAUAUCUGGAGGAACAUCAGUGGCGAAGGCGGCUCCCUGGCCAAAGACUGACGCUCAUGUGCGAAAGUGUGGGUAGCGAACAGGAUUAGAUACCCCUGGUAGUCCACACCGUAAACGCUGUCUACUAGCUGUUUUGUGUAUUUAAUACGUGAGUAGCGAAGCUAACGCGCUAAGUAGACCGCCUGGGGAGUACGGCCGCAAGGUUAAAACUCAAAUGAAUUGACGGGGGCC